UGCUGGAGGUAUCAGAAGUGCGAAUGCUGACAUAAGUAACGAUAAAGCGGGUGAAAAGCCCGCUCGCCGGAAGACCAAGGGUUCCUGUCCAACGUUAAUCGGGGCAGGGUGAGUCGACCCCUAAGGCGAGGCCGAAAGGCGUAGUCGAUGGGAAACAGGUUAAUAUUCCUGUACUUGGUGUUACUGCGAAGGGGGGACGGAGAAGGCUAUGUUAGCCGGGCGACGGUUGUCCCGGUUUAAGCAUGUAGGCUGGUUAUCCAGGCAAAUCCGGAUAAUCAAGGCUGAGGUGUGAUGACGAGGCACUACGGUGCUGAAGUAACAAAUGCCCUGCUUCCAGGAAAAGCCUCUAAGCAUCAGGUAACAUCAAAUCGUACCCCAAACCGACACAGGUGGUCAGGUAGAGAAUACCAAGGCGCUUGAGAGAACUCGGGUGAAGGAACUAGGCAAAAUGGUGCCGUAACUUCGGGAGAAGGCACGCUGGUGUGUAGGUGAAGUCCCUGCGGAUGGAGCUGAGACCAGUCGAAGAUACCAGCUGGCUGCAACUGUUUAUUAAAAACACAGCACUGUGCAAACACGAAAGUGGACGUAUACGGUGUGACGCCUGCCCGGUGCCGGAAGGUUAAUUGAUGGGGUUAUCCGUAAGGAGAAGCUCUUGAUCGAAGCCCCGGUAAACGGCGGCCGUAACUAUAACGGUCCUAAGGUAGCGAAAUUCCUUGUCGGGUAAGUUCCGACCUGCACGAAUGGCGUAAUGAUGGCCAGGCUGUCUCCACCCGAGACUCAGUGAAAUUGAACUCGCUGUGAAGAUGCAGUGUACCCGCGGCAAGACGGAAAGACCCCGUGAACCUUUACUAUAGCUUGACACUGAACAUUGAGCCUUGAUGUGUAGGAUAGGUGGGAGGCUUUGAAGCGUGGACGCCAGUCUGCGUGGAGCCAACCUUGAAAUACCACCCUUUAAUGUUUGAUGUUCUAACGUUGGCCCCUGACCGGGGUUGCGGACAGUGUCUGGUGGGUAGUUUGACUGGGGCGGUCUCCUCCCAAAGCGUAACGGAGGAGCACGAAGGUUAGCUAAUCCUGGUCGGACAUCAGGAGGUUAGUGCAAUGGCAUAAGCUAGCUUGACUGCGAGCGUGACGGCGCGAGCAGGUGCGAAAGCAGGUCAUAGUGAUCCGGUGGUUCUGAAUGGAAGGGCCAUCGCUCAACGGAUAAAAGGUACUCCGGGGAUAACAGGCUGAUACCGCCCAAGAGUUCAUAUCGACGGCGGUGUUUGGCACCUCGAUGUCGGCUCAUCACAUCCUGGGGCUGAAGUAGGUCCCAAGGGUAUGGCUGUUCGCCAUUUAAAGUGGUACGCGAGCUGGGUUUAGAACGUCGUGAGACAGUUCGGUCCCUAUCUGCCGUGGGCGCUGGAGAAUUGAGGGGGG
Molecule: ribosomal RNA, 1416 nt
Filed under: Klebsiella pneumoniae
Lineage: Bacteria; Pseudomonadati; Pseudomonadota; Gammaproteobacteria; Enterobacterales; Enterobacteriaceae
Description: bacterial LSU rRNA
Rfam family: Bacterial large subunit ribosomal RNA
Source: RNAcentral